CAACUUUUAACGGUGGAUGUGUUGGCUCGUGCAUCGAUGAAGAACAGCACGGAGCUGCGAACGUAGUGUGAAUUGCAGAAUUCAGUGAAUCAUCGAAUCUUUGAACGCAAAUGGCGCUCUCGGUUAUACCGGGAGCAUGUCUGUCUGAGUGUUGGUU
RNAcentral lists this ribosomal RNA (157 nucleotides) under Dendronephthya gigantea. RNAcentral's name for it is "5.8S ribosomal RNA". It matches the Rfam family "5.8S ribosomal RNA". Rfam says of the family: 5.8S ribosomal RNA (5.8S rRNA) is a component of the large subunit of the eukaryotic ribosome. It is transcribed by RNA polymerase I as part of the 45S precursor that also contains 18S and 28S rRNA. Lineage: Eukaryota; Metazoa; Cnidaria; Anthozoa; Malacalcyonacea; Nephtheidae. The record is from RNAcentral.